AAUUAUUGAAUUCUCUACUAUUGGCAUGU
RNAcentral lists this non-coding RNA (29 nucleotides) under Cricetulus griseus (Chinese hamster). The record is from RNAcentral. Lineage: Eukaryota; Metazoa; Chordata; Mammalia; Rodentia; Cricetidae.